UACAGAGACUGCAAGCGUUAUUCGGAUUCACUGGGCGUAAAGGGUGCGCAGGCGGCUAGGGGUGUCAGAUGUGAAAUCCCGAGGCUCAACCUCGGAACUGCGUCUGAAACUACUUGGCUAGAGUACUGGGGAGGGUAACGGAAUUCACGGUGUAGCAGUGAAAUGCGUAGAUAUCGUGAGGAACACCAGAGGCGAAGGCGGUUACCUGGACAGUUACUGACGCUCAUGUACGAAAGCGUGGGUAGCAAACAGG
This 253-nucleotide ribosomal RNA is filed under the name uncultured bacterium. Its description in RNAcentral is "partial 16S ribosomal RNA". It matches the Rfam family "Bacterial small subunit ribosomal RNA", at positions 524 to 776 of the family's 1533-position model. The record is from RNAcentral.